UAAGGAAUAUUGGUCAAUGGACGCAAGUCUGAACCAGCCAUGCCGCGUGAAGGAAGACGGCCCUACGGGUUGUAAACUUCUUUUGUACGGGAAAAAACCACCGGUCGUGAACCGGUGCUGAUGGUACCGUAAGAAUAAGCAUCGGCUAACUCCGUGCCCGCAGGCGCGGUAAUACGGAGGAUGCAAGCGUUAUCCGGAUUCAUUGGGUUUACAGGGUGCGCAGGCGGAAGGAUAAGUCAGUGGUGAAAUACUACGGCGUAACUGUAGAACUGCCAUGGAUACUGUUGUUCUUGAGUACACUUGGAGUGGGCGGAAUGUGUCAUGUAGCGGUGAAAUGCUUAGAUAUGACACAGAACACCGAUCGCGAAGGCAGCUCACUAAGUUGUAACUGACGCUCAGGCACGAAAGCGUGGGGAUCAAACA
RNAcentral lists this ribosomal RNA (423 nucleotides) under uncultured prokaryote. RNAcentral describes it as "bacterial SSU rRNA". It matches the Rfam family "Bacterial small subunit ribosomal RNA", at positions 355 to 774 of the family's 1533-position model. The record is from RNAcentral.